This 253-nucleotide ribosomal RNA is filed under the name uncultured microorganism. RNAcentral describes it as "partial 16S ribosomal RNA". It matches the Rfam family "Bacterial small subunit ribosomal RNA", at positions 524 to 776 of the family's 1533-position model. The record is from RNAcentral.
UACGUAGGUCCCGAGCGUUACCCGGAAUCACUGGGCGUAAAGGGUGCGUAGGCGGCCGCGUGUGUCUGGCGUAAAAUACCACGGCUCAACCGUGGGAAUGCGCUGGAAACUACGUGGCUUGGGUGCGGCAGAGGCAGACGGAACUGCUGGUGUAGCGGUGAAAUCCGUAGAUAUCAGCAGGAACGCCGGUGGAGAAGUCGGUCUGCUGGGCCGUAACCGACGCUGAGGCACGAAAGCUAGGGGAGCGAACCGG